UACGUAGGUGGCAAGCGUUUGUCCGGAAUUAUUGGGCGUAAAGCGCGCGCAGGCGGCCUCUUAAGUCUGAUGUGAAAGCCCCCGGCUCAACCGGGGAGGGCCAUUGGAAACUGGGAGGCUUGAGUAUAGGAGAGAAGAGUGGAAUUCCACGUGUAGCGGUGAAAUGCGUAGAGAUGUGGAGGAACACCAGUGGCGAAGGCGACUCUUUGGCCUAUAACUGACGCUGAGGCGCGAGAGCGUGGGGAGCAAACAGG
Molecule: ribosomal RNA, 254 nt
Filed under: uncultured bacterium
Lineage: Bacteria
Description: partial 16S ribosomal RNA
Rfam family: Bacterial small subunit ribosomal RNA
Source: RNAcentral